CGCGAUGUGGUCCAGGGAAGGACGCCUGCUUCGGGAGCAGGAGAACGCAGGUUCGAGUCCUGUCAUCGCGA
This 71-nucleotide transfer RNA is filed under the name Planctomycetota bacterium. RNAcentral's name for it is "tRNA-Pro". It matches the Rfam family "tRNA". From Rfam's summary of the family: Transfer RNA (tRNA) molecules are approximately 80 nucleotides in length. Their secondary structure includes four short double-helical elements and three loops (D, anti-codon, and T loops). Further hydrogen bonds mediate the characteristic L-shaped molecular structure. tRNAs have two regions of fundamental functional importance: the anti-codon, which is responsible for specific mRNA codon recognition, and the 3' end, to which the tRNAs corresponding amino acid is attached (by aminoacyl-tRNA synthetases). tRNAs cope with the degeneracy of the genetic code in two manners: having more than one tRNA (with a specific anti-codon) for a particular amino acid; and 'wobble' base-pairing, i.e. permitting non-standard base-pairing at the 3rd anti-codon position. Lineage: Bacteria; Pseudomonadati; Planctomycetota. The record is from RNAcentral.